AACGCUGGCGGCGUGCCUAACACACUGUAAGUCGAGCGCGUCUGAUUUGAUGCUUGCAUUAAUGAAAGAUGAGCGGCGGACGGGUGAGUAACGCGUGGGUAACCUGCCCUAUACACAUGGAUAACAUACUGAAAAGUUUACUAAUACAUGAUAAUAUAUAUUUACGGCAUCGUAGAUAUAUCAAAGUGUUAGCGGUAUAGGAUGGACCCGCGUCUGAUUAGCUAGUUGGUGAGAUAACUGCCCACCAAGGCGACGAUCAGUAGCCGACCUGAGAGGGUGAUCGGCCACAUUGGAACUGAGACACGGUCCAAACUCCUACGGGAGGCAGCAGUGGGGAAUAUUGCACAAUGGGCGCAAGCCUGAUGCAGCAACGCCGCGUGAACGAUGAAGGUCUUCGGAUCGUAAAGUUCUGUUGCAGGGGAAGAUAAUGACGGUACCCUGUGAGGAAGCCCCGGCUAACUACGUGCCAGCAGCCGCGGUAAUACGUAGGGGGCUAGCGUUAUCCGGAUUUACUGGGCGUAAAGGGUGCGUAGGUGGUCUUUCAAGUCGGUGGUUAAAGGCUACGGCUCAACCGUAGUUAGCCUCCGAAACUGGAAGACUUGAGUGCAGGAGAGGAAAGUGGAAUUCCCAGUGUAGCGGUGAAAUGCGUAGAUAUUGGGAGGAACACCAGUAGCGAAGGCGGCUUUCUGGACUGCAACUGACACUGAGGCACGAAAGCGUGGGUAGCAAACAGGAUUAGAUACCCUGGUAGUCCACGCUGUAAACGAUGAGUACUAGGUGUCGGGGGUUACCCCCCUCGGUGCCGCAGCUAACGCAUUAAGU
This 822-nucleotide ribosomal RNA is filed under the name uncultured Clostridia bacterium. RNAcentral's name for it is "bacterial SSU rRNA". It matches the Rfam family "Bacterial small subunit ribosomal RNA", at positions 32 to 865 of the family's 1533-position model. The record is from RNAcentral. Lineage: Bacteria; Bacillati; Bacillota; Clostridia.